This 566-nucleotide unclassified non-coding RNA is filed under the name Hevea brasiliensis (rubber tree). Lineage: Eukaryota; Viridiplantae; Streptophyta; Magnoliopsida; Malpighiales; Euphorbiaceae. The record is from RNAcentral.
GGAGAGCCUUCAUAUGCAUGAGGUAAGGCCGUAAGAGAGAUGAGAGACAUGAAAGAUGGUACUUCCUUUGAGAAUGUUUAUUGUAUCAGUAUUUGACUAUUUGCUUUACUUCUUUGCCAGAGCAUUUGAUGUUUUCAGUCACGUUCUAUAAAAUUUCUGUAGAAGUGAUGACAUGAUGAAUAUGAACUAGCUACUGUUCAGCUGUAUACUGUUACUAUAAUCUGGGGUGUUAUGGAACAAGUUAGUCAAACUAGCUCAUGUGUACUGUUAAAUAUGAUUCGCAUAUUUUUAUUUUUCAGUAGGCUCAGUUGUUUAUUCUUUUUCUUCCCAAUUAGAUUUUGCUACAAUCUCCCAAAUAUAUCUAUGUGCUAUAGUCAUUGAUGUUGCAUUUUAUCCCUCAGUUUUUUGUUCUCUUAUUCCCCAAUCAGAUAUUCUAACUUGCUAUCAGUCCCUGAUUUUGUGGCUUAAAAGUGGCUUUACGAUAAAAGUUAAGGUUAGAUUUUGCGGUGCUUUAUUUUAUUAGAAUAUUGCUGCUUCAAGCGUUAGCUGUGACUUUGUAUUGCUGU